CCUACGGGGGGCAGCAGUGAGGAAUAUUGGUCAAUGGGCGUAAGCCUGAACCAGCCAAGUCGCGUGAGGGAUGAAGGUUCUAUGGAUCGUAAACCUCUUUUAUAAGGGAAUAAAGUGUGGGACGUGUCCUAUUUUGUAUGUACCUUAUGAAUAAGGAUCGGCUAACUCCGUGCCAGCAGCCGCGGUAAUACGGAGGAUGCGAGCGUUAUCCGGAUUUAUUGGGUUUAAAGGGUGCGCAGGCGGAAUGUCAAGUCAGCGGUAAAAUUUCGGGGCUCAACCCCGUCGUGCCGUUGAAACUGGCGUUCUUGAGUGAGCGAGAAGUAUGCGGAAUGCGUGGUGUAGCGGUGAAAUGCAUAGAUAUCACGCAGAACUCCGAUUGCGAAGGCAGCAUACCGGCGCUCAACUGACGCUCAUGCACGAAAGCGUGGGUAUCGAACAGGAUUAGAUACCCUAGUAGUC
This 459-nucleotide ribosomal RNA is filed under the name uncultured bacterium. RNAcentral's name for it is "partial 16S ribosomal RNA". It matches the Rfam family "Bacterial small subunit ribosomal RNA", at positions 338 to 795 of the family's 1533-position model. The record is from RNAcentral.